GACGAACGCUGGCGGCGUGCCUAAUACAUGCAAGUAGAACGCACAGUUUAUACCGUAGCUUGCUACACCAUACACUGUGAGUUGCGAACGGGUGAGUAACGCGUAGGUAACCUGCCUGGUAGCGGGGGAUAACUAUUGGAAACGAUAGCUAAUACCGCAUAAUAUUAAUUAUUGCAUGAUAAUUGAUUGAAAGAUGCAAUUGCAUCACUACCAGAUGGACCUGCGUUGUAUUAGCUAGUAGGUGAGGUAACGGCUCACCUAGGCGACGAUACAUAGUCGACCUGAGAGGGUGAUCGGCCACACUGGGACUGAGACACGGCCCAGACUCCUACGGGAGGCAGCAGUAGGGAAUCUUCGGCAAUGGACGAAAGUCUGACCGAGCAACGCCGCGUGAGUGAAGAAGGUUUUCGGAUCGUAAAGCUCUGUUGUAAGAGAAGAACGGGUGUGAGAGUGGAAAGUUCACACUGUGACGGUAUCUUACCAGAAAGGGACGGCUAACUACGUG
Molecule: ribosomal RNA, 505 nt
Filed under: uncultured bacterium
Lineage: Bacteria
Description: partial 16S ribosomal RNA
Rfam family: Bacterial small subunit ribosomal RNA
Source: RNAcentral